GAUGAACGCUGGCGGCGUGCCUAAUACGUGCAAGUCGAGCGAACGGACGAGAAGCUUGCUUCUCUGAUGUUAGCGGCGGACGGGUGAGUAACACGUGGAUAACCUACCUAUAAGACUGGGAUAACUUCGGGAAACCGGAGCUAAUACCGGAUAAUAUUUUGAACCGCAUGGUUCAAAAGUGAAAGACGGUCUUGCUGUCACUUAUAGAUGGAUCCGCGCUGCAUUAGCUAGUUGGUAAGGUAACGGCUUACCAAGGCAACGAUGCAUAGACGACCUGAGAGGGUGAUCGGCCACACUGGAACUGAGACACGGUCCAGACUCCUACGGGAGGCAGCAGUAGGGAAUCUUCCGCAAUGGGCGAAAGCCUGACGGAGCAACGCCGCGUGAGUGAUGAAGGUCUUCGGAUCGUAAAACUCUGUUAUUAGGGAAGAACAUAUGUGUAAGUAACUGUGCACAUCUUGACGGUACCUAAUCAGAAAGCCACGGCUAACUACAUG
RNAcentral lists this ribosomal RNA (497 nucleotides) under uncultured bacterium. RNAcentral describes it as "partial 16S ribosomal RNA". It matches the Rfam family "Bacterial small subunit ribosomal RNA", at positions 28 to 507 of the family's 1533-position model. The record is from RNAcentral.